GACGAACGCUGGCGGCGUGCCUAAUACAUGCAAGUAGAACGCUGAAGGAGGAGCUUGCUUCUCUGGAUGAGUUGCGAAUGGGUGAGUAACGCGUAGGUAACCUGCCUGGUAGCGGGGGAUAACUAUUGGAAACGAUAGCUAAUACCGCAUAAGAGUAGAUGUUGCAUGACAUUUGCUUAAAAGGUGCAAUUGCAUCACUACCAGAUGGACCUGCGUUGUAUUAGCUAGUUGGUGGGGUAACGGCUCACCAAGGCGACGAUACAUAGCCGACCUGAGAGGGUGAUCGGCCACACUGGGACUGAGACACGGCCCAGACUCCUACGGGAGGCAGCAGUAGGGAAUCUUCGGCAAUGGACGGAAGUCUGACCGAGCAACGCCGCGUGAGUGAAGAAGGUUUUCGGAUCGUAAAGCUCUGUUGUAAGAGAAGAACGAGUGUGAGAGUGGAAAGUUCACACUGUGACGGUAUCUUACCAGAAAGGGACGGCUAACUACGUG
RNAcentral lists this ribosomal RNA (495 nucleotides) under uncultured bacterium. RNAcentral describes it as "partial 16S ribosomal RNA". It matches the Rfam family "Bacterial small subunit ribosomal RNA", at positions 28 to 507 of the family's 1533-position model. The record is from RNAcentral.